This 402-nucleotide unclassified non-coding RNA is filed under the name Hevea brasiliensis (rubber tree). Lineage: Eukaryota; Viridiplantae; Streptophyta; Magnoliopsida; Malpighiales; Euphorbiaceae. The record is from RNAcentral.
GUAUGGAGCUUCAUCCCAGGGGCUGAAGUUGAAAAGACAAGUGUAAAAAGUAUUAUAGUGACAAUGUCACAUUGACAGAACAAAAUAAAAGCAUAUGAUUAUCAUAAUAGCCAGCUUAUCAUAAUCGCCAUCAGAGAUUCAAAAAUUCAAAUCAAUGAUUAUUCAUACAGGCAGCUUCAUCAUGUUUAUCAGAAUUAAUAUGAACAAUUUUCACAAAAUAUCUCAAAAAUUUCAUCAUAAUCAACGAAGUUCAAAUUAGGACAACGUGCUAAACCAUUAGACUAAAACAAUUGAAUUCUCAUAGUUGAAAUGCUGCACAUUUCAAAAUGAAGAGAAUUAAAAUAAUGACAAUGACAACUCAACAGAUAGCUAGAGUACCUUUCUGGUGCAGUAGAAAAAAUA